RNAcentral lists this long non-coding RNA (4546 nucleotides) under Volvox carteri. RNAcentral's name for it is "long non-coding RNA (VCAR_LNC002069)". The record is from RNAcentral. Lineage: Eukaryota; Viridiplantae; Chlorophyta; Chlorophyceae; Chlamydomonadales; Volvocaceae.
UGGAUUUUUAAGCGGUUAAGUAAAUAUCAUGGGGCAGGCACUGGGGGGCACAAUAUCCCAAAUAGCCGUAUUUGCAUCACAACCCUUGGAUGAGGUGAUUGCCCAACGUCGCCCAUCAUCAUCCCGGCAGGUUAAGUCCAGGAUGCCAUCCCCGUCACAGUCUGCACUCUGCAGGACUGCGGUGUCGUGGAUGCACCACCCGGAUGGCCUGGUGCAUGAAGCUGCGGCAAAAAAAACAGCAACGAUAAUAAUUGAUCAAUGCCAGAAGCAGAUCGGGCAGGUGGCCUAGCUAGGAAAGGCCACAUGAAGGGUGGAGGCCAGACCAGCUGGAAAUGAAAGGCCAGGCAGUGUAACUACGAUUUCUAGACGCAUUGAGCAGGUCGGUGCCACAAAGAGACUCAGGGCUUGCUUGCCAGCAGCCGUAGGAUAACCGUACAUGCAUGCAUGCAUGCAUGCAUGCAUGCAUGCCACCAAUACAUUCGGUGAUUGAGCAUUGCUAUGCGCUUGCAUGCAUGUUUUGUGCGAUUGGGCAUAUGUAUACAGUUGCCAAAUAUGAUGCCUGAGGGGCUUCAGGUAAGGUGUACACACUGCUGCAAUUCACUGCUCCGAAGCAAGUGGGGUUGAACAAUAAUAUGCUAUGAUAAUUCCGAGGGGCAAUGCCGGUUCGAGGGAAUUCCCUCGAACCAUCUCAAUUUCAUCGCAACGGCUGGGUUAUUACUACGUACCUGGAUCUGUGGGUGGCGAGAAUAUCUUGGGGCAGGCACUGGGGGGCACAAUAUCCCAAAUAGCCGCAUUUGCAUCACAGCCCGUGGAUGAGGUGAUCGCCCAACGUCGCCCAUCAUCAUCCCGGCAGGUAACAUCCAGGGCGCCAUCCCCGUCACAGUCUGCACUCUGCAGGACUGAGCUGUUGUGGAUGCACCACCCGGAUGGCCUGGUGCAUGAAGCUGGAACUGCGGCAAAAGCCAGCAACGAUAAUAAUCGAUCGGUGUCAGAAGCAACAGAAACAUUUCUAGAUGCAUGGAGCAGCAGGUCAGUGCCAUAAGGAAACGCAGCUCGCCUGCCAGGGUUUUAAAACCCCUAGGGUGCCUGCCAGUAGGGAAACCGUACAUGUGUCCAUGCCACCGAUACAAUCGCGGAUUUAGCAUAAUUAUGCGCUCGCGUGAAUGUGUUGUGUGACUGGCUGGGCAUAUGUACAUGCUCAUACAGUUGCUAAAUGCGAUGCCUGAGGGGCACUGCAAUUACUCCCGCCCUUGCUUGCUUACAGGAUCUCGUAGGUUGAAGCAUGAUAUGCUACAUACGAUGAUUCCCCUGAACCAUCUCAGAUUAUUCAUCACAUACAACUGCUGGGUUAUUUCUACGUACCUGGAUCUGUGGGCGGGGGGAAUAUCAUGGGGCAGGCACUGGGGGGCACAAUAUCCCAAAUAGCCGUAUUUGCAUCACAACCCUUGGAUGAGGUGAUUGCCCAACGUCGCCCAUCAUCAUCCCGGCAGGUUAAGUCCAGGAUGCCAUCCCCGUCACAGUCUGCACUCUGCAGGACUGCGGUGUCGUGGAUGCACCACCCGGAUGGCCUGGUGCAUGAAGCUGCGGCAAAAAAAAACAGCAACGAUAAUAAUUGAUCAAUGCCAGAAGCAGAUAGGGCAGGUGGCCUAGCUAGGAAAGGCCACAUGAAGGGUGGAGGCCAGACCAGCUGGAAAUGAAAGGCCAGGCAGUGUAACUACGAUUUCUGGACGCAUCGAGCAGGUCGGUGCCACAAAGAGACUCAGGGCUUGCUUGCCAGCAGCCGUAGGAUAACCGUACAUGCAUGCAUGCAUGCAUGCCACCAAUACAUUCGGUGAUUGAGCAUAGCUAUGCGCUUGCAUGCAUGUUUUGUGCGAUUGGGCAUAUGUAUACAGUUGCCAAAUGUGAUGCCUGGGGGGCUUCAGGUAAGGUGCACACACUGCUGCAAUUCACUGCUCCGAAGCAAGUGGGGUUGAACAAUGAUAUGCUAUGAUAAUUCCGAGGGGCAAUGCCGGUUCGAGGGAAUUCCCUCGAACCAUCUCAAUUUCAUCGCAACGGCUGGGUUAUUACUACGUACCUGGAUCUGUGGGUGGCGAGAAUAUCUUGGGGCAGGCACUGGGGGGCACAAUAUCCCAAAUAGCCGCAUUUGCAUCACAGCCCGUGGAUGAGGUGAUCGCCCAACGUCGCCCAUCAUCAUCCCGGCAGGUAACAUCCAGGGCGCCAUCCCCGUCACAGUCUGCACUCUGCAGGACUGAGCUGUUGUGGAUGCACCACCCGGAUGGCCUGGUGCAUGAAGCUGGAACUGCGGCAAAAGCCAGCAACGAUAAUAAUCGAUCGGUGUCAGAAGCAACAGAAACAUUUCUAGAUGCAUGGAGCAGCAGGUCGGUGCCAUAAGGAAACGCAGCUCGCCUGCCAGGGUUUUAAAACCCCUAGGGCGCCUGCCAGUAGGACAAGUUGGGUGUCGGCUUCAAGGAAGCCGGAAAAAGGGCGGGGCCCCUCUGCAUCCGUACAGGCCGGUAGCAAAGGUGGCAAGUGUGACAAUUGAUGGGUAGUGUCAACGCGGUGGGAGAUGUGCUUUGUUGCAGCAGUGCUGAUGGUGUGAGAGCUAAGCUUGCACCGGCGAAAUCGUCAGCACCGCCUGAGGGCUCCACGCGAAUCGCAUCCAUUCCGGGUGCAUGCCGCAUGGACAGUGCGGCAGACCGCAAGUCGGAAUGCCCGUGCGGGCAAAUGGUAACGAAAGCUGGGUGAAUUUCGGUGCUGUCUGUGAUGUUUAUCCCCGAAGCGCCAGCGGCCUCAGCAAUCCGCCCCACAGCCGCGGGCUUCAUCGGGGCACACCGCAAGUCUCAGGAGGCCCCGUGCAUUGGCCAAAGUAAAUGUACAAACAAGCAGCUUGUGUAUUUCAUAGAGAAAUGAAAGUAAAUUAUGUUGGCCUGCUGGUGGCAAGUCGGAUUGCCCAUGCCGGCAAAUGGUAACACAAGCUGGGUGUUCGAGUUAUCAUACGCUGUCAUCUCGGAAAUCAAUUAUGAGAUACACGGCACCUUUUGAGAUGAAAUAUAGCCCGAGAGGUGUUGAUGUGACUUUUGAGGUCGGUGAAUGGAGGCAGCUAAACUUGUUUGUGCUCAUACGGUCUUUGUUAGCUACAUGCGAGAUACCUUGCAAUAGAGAAUGCUGUAUAGUACCGAUAACGCGUUUCAGCCGGGCGAGAUAUUAUGUUUGGUCCGUUACAGACACACACACACACACACACACACACACACACACACACACACACACACACGGACAUGGGCAAUCCUACAGGUCGGGGCCCCCCUGGGCGCUUCGCGCUGGGGCCCCGCCCAAAAACCGUACAUGUGUCUAUGCCACCGAUACAAUCGCGGAUUUAGCAUAAUUAUGCGCUCGCGUGAAUGUGUUGUGUGACUGGCUGGGCAUAUGUACAUGCUCAUACAGUUGCUAAAUGCGAUGCCUGAGGGGCACUGCAAUUACUCCCGCCCUUGCUUGCUUACAGGAUCUCGUAGGUUGAAGCAUGAUAUGCUACAUACGAUGAUUCCCCUGAACCAUCUCAGAUUAUUCAUCACAUACAACUGCUGGGUUAUUUCUACGUACCUGGAUCUGUGGGCGGGGGGAAUAUCAUGGGGCAGGCACUGGGGGGCACAAUAUCCCAAAUAGCCGUAUUUGCAUCACAACCCUUGGAUGAGGUGAUUGCCCAACGUCGCCCAUCAUCAUCCCGGCAGGUUAAGUCCAGGAUGCCAUCCCCGUCACAGUCUGCACUCUGCAGGACUGCGGUGUCAUGGAUGCACCACCCGGAUGGCCUGGUGCAUGAAGCUGCGGCAAAAAAAACAGCAACGAUAAUAAUUGAUCAAUGCCAGAAGCAGAUAGGGCAGGUGGCCUAGCUAGGAAAGGCCACAUGAAGGGUGGAGGCCAGACCAGCUGGAAAUGAAAGGCCAGGCAGUGUAACUACGAUUUCUAGACGCAUUGAGCAGGUCGGUGCCACAAAGAGACUCAGGGCUUGCUUGCCAGCAGCCGUAGGAUAACCGUACAUGCAUGCAUGCAUGCAUGCAUGCAUGCCACCAAUACAUUCGGUGAUUGAGCAUAGCUAUGCGCUUGCAUGCAUGUUUUGUGCGAUUGGGCAUAUGUAUACAGUUGCCAAAUGUGAUGCCUGGGGGGCUUCAGGUAAGGUGCACACACUGCUGCAAUUCACUGCUCCGAAGCAAGUGGGGUUGAACAAUGAUAUGCUAUGAUAAUUCCGAGGGGCAAUGCCGGUUCGAGGGAAUUCCCUCGAAUCAUCUCAAUUUCAUCGCAACGGCUGGGUUAUUACUACGUACCUGGAUCUGUGGGUGGCGAGAAUAUCUUGGGGCAGGCACUGGGGGGCACAAUAUCCCAAAUAGCCGCAUUUGCAUCACAGCCCGUGGAUGAGGUGAUCGCCCAACGUCGCCCAUCAUCAUCCCGGCAGGUAACAUCCAGGGCGCCAUCCCCGUCACAGUCUGCACUCUGCAGGACUGAGCUGUUGUGGAUGCACCACCCGGAUGGCCUGGUGCAUGAAGCUGGAACU